UACGUAGGGUGCAAGCGUUAAUCGGAAUUACUGGGCGUAAAGCGUGCGCAGGCGGUUCGGAAAGAAGGAUGUGAAAUCCCAGGGCUCAACCUUGGAACUGCACUCUUAACUACCGGACUAGAGUAUGUCAGAGGGGGGUAGAAUUCCGCGUGUAGCAGUGAAAUGCGUAGAUAUGCGGAGGAAUACCGAUGGCGAAGGCAGCCCCCUGGGAUAAUACUGACGCUCAUGCACGAAAGCGUGGGUAGCAAACAGGAUUAGAUACCCG
RNAcentral lists this ribosomal RNA (265 nucleotides) under uncultured prokaryote. RNAcentral describes it as "partial 16S ribosomal RNA". It matches the Rfam family "Bacterial small subunit ribosomal RNA", at positions 524 to 788 of the family's 1533-position model. The record is from RNAcentral.